This 290-nucleotide long non-coding RNA is filed under the name Fukomys damarensis (Damara mole-rat). RNAcentral's name for it is "lncRNA (ENSFDAG00000027945.1)". Lineage: Eukaryota; Metazoa; Chordata; Mammalia; Rodentia; Bathyergidae. The record is from RNAcentral.
GAGGAAUUCACUUUCUUCUACCUGAACAUAGCUGACAGCCUCGCCAAGGAAAGGACACACAGCCCAUCAUUCGACAGCGGUAGAAGCUGCCACAUCGCUAUGUCUCCUGUCCCUUACUCACAGUUUGCCGGCCGGCAGGAUUACAGAAAAGGAGGAAUUGAAAAAAAAGAAGGAAAAAAGGGAGGAAAGAAAGAAGGAAAAAGAAACAAGAUGCCCCAGAAGAAGAUGACUUAUGUUUUUACAGCUGCUUCUAUGUUGUCAAUUUCCAAAUGAGAAAUCAUGCACUGGCU